AUGUUGAGGAAACUUUUGAGGGGCUCUUCUAGCCAAAGCUCCCAGGAAAAACAAGCCAAAGAGAAGGAAAAAGCCAAAUAUAAUCUUCCUCGCUUAGCGGAAGUACAGUCGUGUGAAUGGCCAUGCGAGGAUUUCUUGAAAGAGGCUGGAAUUCAUGAAGACUUUCAUGCUUUAAUCGAGACUGCAGGCGUCACCGGGUUCAUCAACGACCGAAUCGAUCAGUAUCCCUUACUCACCAAUACCUUCGUGCAAAAAUUUUAUUUUUAUCCUAAGAAGUCACCGCCUGCAAUAUCAUUUCAUUUAUAUGAUGAGUUCAAAGAAAUGUCUUUACGUCAUUUUUGCGCGGUAUGUAGGAUACCUUAUGUGGGAGAAUUAGAGGAACCCCAUCGUGAAGAUGUGGCGGGCUUUGUUAAUACUAUCACCAUAGAGGAGCCAAAGAAGGGUUUCGAGGCAAAAGUCUCUAGCAUACACUUUCCUGUUUUAUGCUACUUUGCCAUAUUUGCUAGUAGAUGCUUGAUUGGUCGUGGAAAUAGUGGAAACUUGAGCGUUCCUGAUAUUAUCAUUCUUUUUUUCUUGGAGACAAUACUUUUAGUUUGGGUGCCGUUGUUGCUAAACGGCUAG
RNAcentral lists this ribosomal RNA (621 nucleotides) under Triticum aestivum (bread wheat). RNAcentral describes it as "partial small subunit ribosomal RNA". Lineage: Eukaryota; Viridiplantae; Streptophyta; Magnoliopsida; Poales; Poaceae. The record is from RNAcentral.